CAACUAAGAGCACAGGAGAGCUGUGUCCCGCUGUCUGUCCGUGCUGCAGACAGCACAGGCCAGAGCAGCAUGUGGGGCAGUGAGGGCUCUUCCUCAACACAAACUGCGGCUUCUUCUUCCCCCCUUUGCUCUCAGAACCAGUCCUAAAGGUACAGAACUCAAUAUAUAACAUAAACAAGGUGAUUUGGGAUACAGGCAUCACAAAGUCACCCCAGGACACCUGAGUAUGAUUCUGUGGAGUGAGGGAUCACAGGAUGAGUGUUUGAAGCUUUCUUCAAGUAUUGCAGGCUGCCUGUUGCCCUGUCCUUCUGUGGCCCAGCCAGGUGUCCUGCCCCACACCUGGGAGGAGGCAUCCACCAGAACCUGCUCCCUGUCUUUUCCAGGAGGAUAAAGCUGUUCUUUAAACCAUACUCCAGUGCUUUCCCUGGUGGGAAGUCACAGCUGUUCUUCAAGGAGGAUGAAGGUCUGUGCUGUGCUGAUACAUGGAGGUAUGGCCAGCUUUGCAAUCCUCCUAUGAGAGGUGAGGGGGCUGCCACAGCUGAGAGAUAGGUGUGAUACCUCCCUUUAAUGAUCCAUCAUUUUCUGGACCUCAAGGAAGAGAAAAGCUAACUUGGCUUCUCAUUUUAAGCUUUCCCAAGAGGAAAAUGGACUGUGGUGAGGGGGUUAUUUAAGGCAGCAGAAUCACUUGUCAUUCACAAGGUGAUGGGGUUAAUUCUGAUCAGCUCUGAGGUGAUGAGAGGCCCAGCUCACAACUGCAGAGUCCUGUGAGCCUGCCCUGGGUGCUGGGACAAGGAAGAGUCAGGCACUAUUCCUUUUCUGUGAGUGGCUUCUCAGGGGCAGCAUUAAGAAAUGUUGUACUGUAGCAGGGCAAUGUCUCAAAGUAUCAAAGUUUAUUCAGUAAUUAUUUAACAUUUGCCUAUACCUCUUUCAGAGCUGCUCUGGGGGUAUUUUCUGGAGCAUCAUUGUGGCCCUGGGUGGGAUUCCUUUCUGUCCUGUUGAGACCUGUCUGGGAUUUGAGAACUUGGGAUCCCUGCUCUCUGUGGCUUGUCUUUUAUGAGACAACCAGCUCAAAAAAAGUUGUCCCAUAACUCAUCUCAGUGUUUUGGAUUUUGCUGAAGAGGUGUUUAAUUGAAAAGCUCUUAGUCCAAAAGCCAGACCCUUACCACUGAGGCAAUAUCUUUUCCUUUUCCUCAAAGAUGCUGUGAGUAAAAUGAUGAAGGUACUGAAUUUUUCCAUGCUCUGGUUUCUCACAGAGCAAAUCAGCUGCAGAGUCCACUCUGGCUUGGUGUCAGAAGGGAAUCAGCUUCACUUUUAUAAGCUCCUCAGCAAAUACCACGAGGUUCAGGUGGGGAGAUGCAGUGCUGGGAUUCCACCAGGUCUGUGUGGAGCAGGUGAAUAUGUCACAAAGGAGAUGGAGGGAACCCUAACAACUUCUCUCCCAGGUGGAGGAAACCACUUGCUCUUGAUUUUUUUCCCUUUGAUCACCAUGUGGCAAGAGAUAAAAGGUAUUUUGGGGUGGGUUUCAUCAUAAUAAAGUCCUGCUUUUU
Long non-coding RNA from Parus major (Great Tit), 1547 nucleotides. RefSeq lists it as uncharacterized. The transcript is spliced from 3 exons. The record is from RefSeq and is a predicted model, not a curated record. NCBI's taxonomy places the organism in Eukaryota, Metazoa, Chordata, Aves, Passeriformes, Paridae.